UGCACAGCGUAUAUAAACGCAACGAACCCUGAGCUGAGUCCCCAUCUUAAAUCAGACAAAACAUAGGAGUAUUUACUAUAUCUUCUUCCUUCGGAGCUCCAUUGAUGAUCUUCUUUAUCCAUUAUAAACGCAUCAGAUCUAUACUGAUCAUCGCAAAAGCUUUAAUCAUGAAAUUAGGGGAUCGGAGAAACCUUCAUUCCUGAAACGCAGACUCAAUCACUCGCUAUGUUCUCCUGAUCAUCUUGCUUGGCUCUGCACUUUAU
This is a non-coding RNA of Nicotiana tabacum (common tobacco), 263 nucleotides long. NCBI's taxonomy places the organism in Eukaryota, Viridiplantae, Streptophyta, Magnoliopsida, Solanales, Solanaceae. The record is from RefSeq and is a predicted model, not a curated record.